AUUGAACGCUGGCGGCAUGCCUUACACAUGCAAGUCGAACGGCAGCACGGGGCAACCUGGUGGCGAGUGGCGAACGGGUGAGUAAUGCAUCGGAACGUGCCAUUGAGUGGGGGAUAACGUAGCGAAAGUUGCGCUAAUACCGCAUAUUCUGUGAGCAGGAAAGCAGGGGACCGCAAGGCCUUGCGCUCUUUGAGCGGCCGAUGUCAGAUUAGCUAGUUGGUGAGGUAACGGCUUACCAAGGCGACGAUCUGUAGCGGGUCUGAGAGGAUGAUCCGCCACACUGGAACUGAGACACGGUCCAGACUCCUACGGGAGGCAGCAGUGGGGAAUUUUGGACAAUGGGCGCAAGCCUGAUCCAGCCAUGCCGCGUGAGUGAAGAAGGCCUUCGGGUUGUAAAGG
RNAcentral lists this ribosomal RNA (399 nucleotides) under uncultured bacterium. RNAcentral's name for it is "bacterial SSU rRNA". It matches the Rfam family "Bacterial small subunit ribosomal RNA", at positions 30 to 431 of the family's 1533-position model. The record is from RNAcentral.